CUGGUGUUCCGUGUCCUCGCUCUGUCACUUACUGGUGUGAUUCCUGGUGUUCUGUGUCCUCGCUCUGUCACUUACUGGUGUGAUUCCUGGUGUUCCGUGUCCUCGCUCUGUCACUUACUGGUGUGAUUCCUGGUGUUCCGUGUCCUCGCUCUGUCACUUACUGGUGUGAUUCCUGGUGUUCCGUGUCCUCGCUCUGUCACUUACUGGUGUGAUUCCUGGUGUUCCGUGUCCUCGCUCUGUCACUUACUGGUGUGAUUCCUGGUGUUCCGUGUCCUCGCUCUGUCACUUACUGGUGUGAUUCCUGGUGUUCCGUGUCCUCGCUCUGUCACUUACUGGUGUGAUUCCUGGUGUUCCGUGUCCUCGCUCUGUCACUUACUGGUGUGAUUCCUGGUGUUCCGUGUCCUCGCUCUGUCACUUACUGGUGUGAUUCCUGGUGUUCCGUGUCCUCGCUCUGUCACUUACUGGUGUGAUUCCUGGUGUUCCGUGUC
Molecule: non-coding RNA, 488 nt
Organism: Oryctolagus cuniculus (rabbit)
Lineage: Eukaryota; Metazoa; Chordata; Mammalia; Lagomorpha; Leporidae
Source: RefSeq, a predicted model, not a curated record